UAGGGAAUUUUCGUCAAUGGGCGCAAGCCUGAACGAGCAAUGCCGCGUGAGUGAGGAAGGUCUUCGGAUCGUAAAGCUCUGUUGCGGGGGAAAAAAGGAAGCAGAAAGGAAAUGGUCUGCUUUUGAUGGUACCCCGCCAGAAAGUCACGGCUAACUACGUGCC
This 163-nucleotide ribosomal RNA is filed under the name uncultured bacterium. RNAcentral describes it as "partial 16S ribosomal RNA". It matches the Rfam family "Bacterial small subunit ribosomal RNA", at positions 355 to 509 of the family's 1533-position model. The record is from RNAcentral.